CGGACUGGUCAAUUUAUUGAGCAGUUAGUGGCGAAAGGGUUAGUAAUGAAUAGGUAACGUACCCUGUGCUCCGGGAUAGCGUCAUUCGCCUUCGGGCGAAUUUCCGAAAGGGGCAGUAAUACCGGAUAAUAUCAUGUGUCGAUAGGCACAUGUUCAAAGAUUUAUCGGCGCAGGAGCGGCCUAUUUCCUAUCAGCUUGUUGGUGAGGUAAAGGCCCACCAAGGCAAUGACGGGUAGCGGGACUGAGAGGUUGGCCCGCAACAUCGGGACUGAGACACUGCCCGGACCUCCACGGAGGGCUGCAGUAACGAAUCUUGCGCAAUGGGCGAAAGCCUGACGCAGCGACGCCGCGUGCGGGAAGAAGUCCUUCGGGAUGUAAACCGCUGUCAGGGGUAAGAAAGUCCACUUCGGUGGAUUGAUCUAACCCAAAGGAAGCCACGGCUAACUUCGUGCCAGCAGCCGCGGUAAGACGAAGGUGGCAAGCGUUGUUCGGUAUCACUGGGCUUAAAGCGUGUGUAGGCGGAAAAGUAAGCGUCGCGUGAAAGCCCCCGGCUUAACCGGGGAACUGCUCGACGAACUGCUUUUCUUGAGGCAAGUAGGGGUGCACGGAACUCUUGGUGGAGCGGUGGAAUGCGUAGAUAUCAAGAGGAACGCCGGUGGAGAAAUCGGUGCACUGGGCUUGUGCUGACGCUGAGACACGAAAGCGUGGGGAGCGAACGGGAUUAGAUACCCCGGUAGUCCACGCCGU
This 747-nucleotide ribosomal RNA is filed under the name uncultured bacterium. Its description in RNAcentral is "bacterial SSU rRNA". It matches the Rfam family "Bacterial small subunit ribosomal RNA", at positions 67 to 803 of the family's 1533-position model. The record is from RNAcentral.